CUGUCAAUCCUGGAAGACGCAGAGGAGCUUUCUGGCCAAGAUGUUGAUAUUAUCAACAAAUCUACCUGCAUGGUAUAGAUAAGAAAAUUAUAUACCUUACCCCCCCUUAAAUUAUAGAAAGAUCGAUUUUUUAUUUGUUCUGAAAUGCUAUAAUUUCUCUUUUUCAUACAGGCUCUAAUUCUAGGAGCUUCAGACACUACAACGGUGACACUAACUUGGGCUUUGUCAUUACUACUCAACAAUCGCCACGUCCUAAAGAAAGCACAACAAGAAUUAGACAGCGUCGUCGGUAGAGAAAGGCAAGUGAACGAAUCAGACAUGAAGGAUUUGGUUUACCUUCAAGCCAUCAUCAAAGAAAUUUUUAGGUUGUAUCCUGCUGCUCCAUUAUCAGUGCAACAUGAAUCCAUAGAAGACUGCAGUGUAGGAGGCUAUCACAUUCCAUCAGGCACACGCCUUAUUGUAAAUCUCUCAAAACUUCAUAGAGAUUCACGGGUAUGGUUGAAUCCUUCAGAGUUUAAACCAGAAAGGUUUCUUACAACCCACAAGGAUAUUGAUUUCAAGGGCCAGGAUUUCGAGCUAAUACCAUUUGGCAGUGGAAGAAGAAUGUGUCCUGCAGUCUCAUUUGCUUCUCAAGUUGUGAACCUCAUACUUGCUACUUUGUUACAUUCUUUUGAAAUUGAAAAUCCAUCAGGCCAACCAGUUGACAUGAGUGAGAGCGCUGGACUGACAAACCUUAAAGCCACCCCUCUGGAUGUUUUCCUUAUGCCGCGCCUUCCUCCUCCCCUUUAUGCUGCUACAACGUAAUUAAGGAACUGUGUCUGUGUUAGCCGAGCUCUAUCUAUGCUACAUUUUCCUUUAUUGAUUUGCCAGUAUACUUUUAUGUUUGCCUUACGCGUCUAUAUAAAGAUGAAUCCCUUUGAAAUUGAUAACCCCGGCCUUUUUAUUAAAUAAGGUUGUUGAAAAAGAUUUUGUGAAAAGUAUAUUAUAAAAUUGCAUCAAUUUCAAUUUCAAUUUGAUCCAUUUCAAACAUGAGAAAAAAACAAAAAAAAAGAGGUUUCACCCGUUCAUGCAAGAGCACUUUGCAGAACAGUUAUUUGCUAUUCUUUGACAAUAACAAUUCAAAUUUCACAAAUCAAUUCAAUGAAAAAAUGCUAAAGGGUUGCUUCUUUGUUAAAAUAUUUAUUUGCUGUAUAAAAAGGCGAAAAGACCAUAUUUUCAUUUGAGAAUGACAUAGACAUCAAUGAAAGGUUUGCAAGUAAAACCUCACAAGGGGAUCCAGCAAAUUAAAGGUGAGAAUUGUGUUAAAAUAUGAAAACUAAUAAUGUAUUAUGGAAUAUAUAUUAUACUCCACUUUCGCGGAUCUAACUCCGCACUGAGUUGGCCACUCGAAGAUGGGAUUCGAGAUACAAUUUUCGAGAUGAAUUUUUUUAAUGAUAUUAUAUCUUUUUAUAUUUUUCCUGAGUAUAUAAAUAUAUAAUUUUUUUUAGUGUAUUUUAUUUAAAAAAGGGAAAAUUACUUCUUAGUCUCUGAGAUUUAACGUAAUUAACACUUUUGUCCCUCUAUUUUAGCGACCCAACACUUAAGUCCCUCACUUUCUCUUCCGUCUAAAUUCGUAGUCCUUCCGUCCAUUUAAACCGUUUGGUCAAAGAGUCAAAAGUGAGAGGUGAUAAUUUUUUCCAAAAAUACCCUUCUCUCAAUGUGAAAUUCCUAUUUUUUUUCUUUCAUGUUUUCUCCGGUUGAAGAAGAAGAAGAAGAAGAAGAAGAAGAAGAAGAAGAAUAAGAAUAAGAAGUUGCAGAAAGGCUAGGAAGAAGAAGAAGAAAGAAAAAGAAGAAAAAGAAGUUGCAAAAAGGGUAGGAAGAAGAAGAAGAAGAAGAAGAAGAAGUUGCAGAAAGGGUAGGAAGAAGAAGAAGAAGAAGAAGAAGAAGUUGCAGAAAGGGUAGGAAGAAGAAGAAGAAGAAGAAGAAGAAGAAGUUGCAGAAAGGGUAGGAAGAAGAAGAAGAAGAAGUUGCAGAAAGGGUAGGAAGAAUAAGAAGAAAGAAGAAGAAGAAGAAGAAGUUGCAGAAAGGGUAGGAAGAAGAAGAAGAAAAGAAGAAGAGGCAUUUGGGUUUGGGUUUAGUGAGGGUUAAUUUUGUCAAUUCACAUAUCCCAAACGGCUAUUUUGGACGGAAGGAUUACGAAUUGGGACAGAAAAUAAAGUGAAGAACUUAAGUGUUGGGUCGCCAAAAUAGAAGGACAGAAGUGUUAAUUACGUUAAAUCUCAGAGACUAAAAAGUAAUUUUUCUUUAAAAAAACUCAUACAAAAAUAAAAUAAAAAUUUUAACUAAAUUGAUGAACUACAUUAAAUCUAUGUAUUAAUUUUUUUUUAUAUGUAUUUUUAAUUUGUGUGAUUGUCGGAUUCUCAACGAAUUUGAGUGGUUACAAGGUAGAUUAAAGAUCAAGAAGUGAACGAAUAGAGCACUUUUAUAUGCCUUCAUAGUACUGUAAUGUUCAAUGAGUGUUGCUUUUGAUUAUAUUUCGAUAAAGAGCACUUUUACAUGCCUUCGUAGUAUUGUAAUGUUCAAUGAGUGUUGCUUUUGAUUAGAUUUCGAUAAAAAGUAUAAGAAAAUUUUGAGAAGCUAUCUAUUUUAAAAAAAAAUAAAUUCAAAGUAUAAAAAUAAUUAAAUUCAAUUCAGGAAAGAAAUACAAAUUUAAUUCACCAAACCCUGGAUGAUUUGCACUUAGGAAUUGAAUCGGAAAACUGACAUACACCAAAUUGGAAACAAACCCAUUCCAUCCUAGAUUUCUAUACACAAUAAACCUAUAUCCCAAUCCGCGGCAACAGAUCCAAAGGAGCGAUGAAGAGAUAAGGUUGCGAUCGAAAUUGAGGUGUUAAUGGUUUGUCUGGUGAAAGAUUCACCAGAUGGCAUACAGCAGUUUUCGGUAGACAGUUUCACAAGGAGGUUCUAACUGGGCCUCUUUCUCAAGUGGCAUAUAGUAAAUUAUUAAUAAUUCAAAAAGCUGUAUUUAUGUUGUGGAAAGGACAAAACGCCUUUAUUUUUAAAAAUCUUGACAUGUCAUGGAGCAAUAUUUUAUUUGCAAUGGAUACGCAUGUAGAGGAGUCUCUUAAUGCUACUACCUUGAUGGAUAGGAAAGAGCUUUAUGAAGCUAGUGAUAACAGUCUGCAGCUUCGUUAGUCUCCUCCUCAAUAUAAUUAAGUAUAAUUUAAUUUUGAUGCUGAGAGUGAUAAAAUUCGAUGCGGAUGAGCCUUAGCAGUUAUUUCACAACAUUGGUUGGAGCAAUCACUUUUUUUGGAGUUGUUGCGCUAGUUAUAAAGGAUAAGGAGGAUUAUUUGAUUCCGGAAGCUUUGGCAUGUUUUGAAAUGGAUCUACCAGUGGGCCUAAGGAGUUACGGGCUUUUUAAAAAUUUUAAAAAUUUUUAAAGGUAUAUAAGUAAUUUUUUUAAAAUAUAAAAUUACCAUUAAAUCCUUUUAUAUUUAAAAAAUUUAUCAACUCAUUUUUAUUUUAAAAUUAUUUAAUUUAAUAAUUAUAGUUUAUAAAAUCAAAUUCUUUAAUCCAUUUAUCAAAGAAAUUUUUACUAUAUAGUUUCUCAUUUUCUCUAUUAUUUUUUAAUUUAAAAAAUUUACUUUUAAAUUUCUAUUUAAUUUUUUUUAGAUUAUUCACUUAUUAAUUAAUUUAAUUUUAUAUACUAUUUUUAUUAUUAAGUAAUAAUUUUUUUAUUUAUUUCACUUAAUUAUUAAUUUAUUUAUAUAAUUGAAAUUAUAUAAAAAUAAAUUUUAAUGGGUUAAAAUAUUUAAUUUUAAAAAAAUUAAAUUUCCCAACUUUUUCCAUAAACCUCGCUUCUUAGCUUUCUUAGUCUGCAAGUCUACCUGUUUUCUCCAACCGUGUCAAUCACCCUUGACAUCCAGAGGCUCUCUCCUUCUGUCUGAUGGCCAAUCUACUCCAAUUGGCAUUUUUCCUCUAUAGCCAACAGAAUCAGCCCAUCUAACCUUAUUUGGAUUGGCCACAUAAAUUCAAAUGCAGAAUUGAUUCCAACAAUUUCAAAAGCAAAUUUUUUCUCGAAGUUGUGGGAAUUUUCUGUGGUACUACCUUUGAAUCAUGACAUAUAGAAUUUGUUAAGUGAGAUGUGAUUCUUGCAUGAAGUAGCGGGAUUAAAGACAAUCUAUAAACCAGUUCAAAAAACUUUAAUUAUUUUAAUUUAAAUAAAAAAUAAAUAUAAAAUAAAACAAUCCCGCCCAAAUUAUUUAGUAAUUUCGUAUUAGAUAUUAUAUAUAAUUUCAAUUUCCUAUAAUCUAUCGAUUUGGAACCGCUUCCGCAGCUGAAGCAAAUAGCUAACCAUUACACUCAGCCCCACUAAAUUUGCGACGUCCUCAUCAUAACUAAAUCGAUUACAAUUGCUAACCAGCUAAUCAUUAUACUCAGUUCCACUAAAUUUGCGACGUCAUCGUCGCAACUGAAUAGAUUGCAAUUGCUAAUCAGAACUGAAUUCUUGGGUAUUGUGGUUCGCUAGUAUCUCGAGCGGCUCCAUCUCGUCUCUCACUAGUAGCCCUUUUCUCGUAAACCCAUUAGUUCCGCACAAUUUGUUUGACCCAGAGUGACUCUGAUAUCAAUUGAAACAGUCCGGUCCAAUCUGACUCAAAUAACUUUGGACCCACUUUUUAUUUGAUCCAAAAUAGUUAACUCAGGUUAUUUAGUAGUUUCAUACUAACUAUUAUAUACAAUUCCAAUUUUCUAUGAUUUACCGAUGUGGGACGGCUUUCGCAGCGGAAGCAAGCAGCUAUCCGUUACACUAUUGAAACAGUGCGGUCUAAAUUAAUCCAAAUAACUUUUUGGACCCAUUUUUCACUUCGUCCAAAAUAAUUAACUCAAGUUAUUUAGUAGUUUCGUGCUAACUAUUAUAAUAAUUCUGAUUUACUAUAAUCUCCCGAUGUGGGACGGCUUCCGCAGCGAAAGCAGGCAGUUGACCAUUAUACUCGGUCUCGCUAAAUUUACGACUUACUCAUCGCAACUGAAUCGGAUACAAUUGCUAAUCAGGACUAGUAUCUCGGGCGGCUCAUCUCGUCUCUCACGGGUAUCCUUUCCUUGCAGGUCCAUUAACUCUGCACAACUCGUUGCAACUGAAUCGGAUAUAAUUACUAAUCAGAACCGGACCCUCGGAUAUAAAAUGGUUUAUCAUCCAUACAAAAUAUCAAAGAUUUAAGAUGCAUGCAUUAUUUUGAAAAUAAAACAAAUCAUCCAAAAUGUUAAUCCGGCAAAAAUUAUUUAAUAAUUAAAAAUUUAUUUCUUUUUACCGGCAAUACAUUGCAUUGCAUUGCAAUGCUGUUAAAAUGUAUCAGGGUUUUACAAUAACUCAGAGCUCUACUUGAGUUAUGAUUGUGUUAAUCAAGCUCUAAUUAUGCUAUAUUUUCCUUCGUUGAUUUAUCAAUAUCCUUUGAAAUUAAUUAACUCUCUUUUCCAACGGUCUAUUUUUCAAAUAUCAAACUUGAAUUAUCUCCAAUAUUUUAUCACUAUACCUCAUUAUUAAUGAUUCUAAGUUAUAUUUUUUAUAAAAAAAAUAUUUAUACAAUUACAAUUCUAGCCUUUGACUAACCCUUCCCCAUAAGUAUCCCAAGUUCAUGGAAUCUGAUUAACUUUGUGUAACGGAGAAUGGACACAAUCAAUCAUAGCACUAUUAACCACAUGCGCUUCAGCUGCUGGUAAUUUUACUAAACCUAAUGAGUUUAAAUAAUGUUUUCUCAUAAUUUUAAAAAAUAUAUUAAAACAUUUAUAAAAUUUUAAAAUUUAUUAGAUAGUCUCCCUGUUAAUUUCAGUAGUAUAAUAUUACAAAAAUAAAAAAUUAUUAUUUAAUUUCUGUAAUUAAAAAAUUUAUUAUUUAGUCAAUUAAUUUUAAAAAAUAUAUGAAAAUAUUUUUAAAAUUUUUAAAAAAAUAUACUAAUUAAUCACUCUAUUAAUUUUAAUUAUUAAAUGUUAUAAAAAAUUUAAAAUAUUUUCGAUAUGAAUGAAUUAAUUAAUAGACAUUUUUAUAAAAUUGAAGGAUUAAUUAAUAAAUUUCUCCUAUUAUAUGGAUUAAAUAAUAAAAUAUUUAAUAUUUAAAUUAAUUAAAAAACUAAUUAGUAUAUUUUUUAAUUCAUUAAAAUAUUUUAAAUUAUUUUUUUAAAAUUAAGAGAUUUUUUUUAUAAAAUAAAUAUUUUUAUAAAAUUAAGAGAUCAAUUAAUGAGUUUUUUAUAUUAUAAAGAUUAAAUAAUAAAAAAAUUUAAUAAUUAAAACUAAUAUAAUAACUAAUUAAUAGUUUUUUAAAAUUUUAAUAAUAUUUUAAUAUAUUUUUUAAAAUUAAAAUUUUUUUAUAUUAUAAUAACUAAAUAAUAAUUUUUUUAAUUAUUAUAAAUAAUUUAUUCUAUAAAUUAAUUAAAUAAAUAUAUAUUUUAAAAAAAUAAAUUUAAUCGAUGAAAAUAAAAUUUUAAAAUUAUUAAUAAUAAUAUGAUAAAAAAUUUUAAAAAAAUAAUAGUUUAAUAUAAUAUGUAAUAACAAAACUAAUAUUUUUAAUUUAUAAUUUUAAUUUUUUGAUUUUAAAAUAUUUUUUAAAAAGUAAUAAAAAUAAAAACGCAACGAAUAAUCAUCGAAUAAUUUUUUUAUAUUAAUAAGUUUUAAAAAAAUAUAUGUAAUUUUUUUUUCUUUCAAUUUGGAUCUCAAAGUUGAAUUAAUUUCAAUUGAUAGAGUUAAAAUGUCAGACGGGAUAUAUUCAAUUAAAAAAAUGUCUAGUAAAAUUUAUUCAAUGACUUCUAUAUCUUGGGCUAAUUACUUAAAUUUAUCUGCACUUUAAUAGUAAAUUUGAGUGGCUAAAUCUAAUAGAAAAUUAGCAUUCUAAAUAAUAUUUUAAUAUAAUUUAAUAGAGAUAAUUAUAAAAAAAAUUUAAAUUUUAUCAAUUUCAAUAAUUAUAUUUUAAAAUUUUUAAAUAAAUAUACUCAAAAUUUAUUAUUCAAUAUAAUUUAAUUUUUAAUUUUGAUUUGCAUAUAAGUUCGGAUAAGGCAUUCACUCUUUUUUUUUUUAAUCGAUAAUUAUUGUCAUUUGGGUAACUAUAAUUAGUUGUAAUAAUAUACUUUUAAAAAAUUAAGAAUUAUAAUUUUUUCUAAUUAAAAAAAUUAAUUAUAUUUAUUAUAAUCACUCUGAUUGUACCAAAAAUUAAUAAUCAAUUUAAUAAAUUAAAAAUAAUUAAAUUCAUUAAACAAUAAAUAAAUUAUAAUCAUAAAAUAAAUUAAAUUUAAUCAUUUUUUAUUAAUUAGGAUAAUAUUUAUCCGCGAGAAAAAUGCAAUAAAUAUAUGAUUAAUUUAUUUUGAUCUCAAAAUAUCUGAUUAAUUUUUAAACAAAGAGUAUCGUGAUUUUUUAUUUUUUAAAUUUUUUUUUUUUUUGUGAAAACUUAAUUGUUUUCUGGCCAAGAUGUUGAUAUUAUCAACAAAUCUACGUGCAUGGUAUAGAUCAGAAAAUUAUAUACCUUACCCCUUAAAUUAUAGAAAGAUCGAUUUUUUAUUUGUUCUGAAAUGCUAUAAUUUCUCUUGUUCAUACAGGCUCUAAUUCUAGGAGCUUCAGACACUACAACGGUGACACUAACUUAGGCUUUGUCAUUACUACUCAACAAUCGCCACGUCCUAAAGAAAGCACAACAAGAAUUAGACAGCGUUGUCGGUAGAGAAAGGCAAGUGAACGAAUCAGACAUGAAGGAUUUGGUUUACCUUCAAGCCAUCAUCAAAGAAAUUUUUAGGUUGUAUCCUGCUGCUCCAUUAUCAGUGCAACAUGAAUCCAUAGAAGACUGCAGUGUAGGAGGCUAUCACAUUCCAUCAGGCACACGCCUUAUUGUAAAUCUCUCAAAACUUCAUAGAGAUUCACGGGUAUGGUUGAAUCCUUCAGAGUUUAAACCAGAAAGGUUUCUUACA
This 7925-nucleotide long non-coding RNA is filed under the name Manihot esculenta (cassava). Its description in RNAcentral is "long non-coding RNA (MESC_LNC003036)". Lineage: Eukaryota; Viridiplantae; Streptophyta; Magnoliopsida; Malpighiales; Euphorbiaceae. The record is from RNAcentral.